RNAcentral lists this ribosomal RNA (215 nucleotides) under Candidatus Omnitrophota bacterium. RNAcentral describes it as "partial 23S ribosomal RNA". It matches the Rfam family "Bacterial large subunit ribosomal RNA", at positions 2715 to 2925 of the family's 2925-position model. The record is from RNAcentral. Lineage: Bacteria; Pseudomonadati; Candidatus Omnitrophota.
UUCCGGUUGUCCUGCCAAGGGCAAAGGCCGGGUAGCUAUGUUUGGAAGUGAUAAGCGCUGAAAGCAUCUAAGUGCCAAGCACCCCCCAAGACUAAGUAUCCCUGAGUCGCAAGACUCUGUAGGCUAGUGGUAGACUACCACUUUAAUAGGCGUAAAGUGUAAGAUCCGUAAGGAUUUCAGCUAAUACGUACUAAUCAGCCAAUAGGCUUGUCCUU